This 497-nucleotide ribosomal RNA is filed under the name uncultured bacterium. Its description in RNAcentral is "partial 16S ribosomal RNA". It matches the Rfam family "Bacterial small subunit ribosomal RNA", at positions 28 to 507 of the family's 1533-position model. The record is from RNAcentral.
GAUGAACGCUGGCGGCGUGCCUAAUACAUGCAAGUCGAGCGAACGGACGAGAAGCUUGCUUUUCUGAUGUUAGCGGCGGACGGGUGAGUAACACGUGGAUAACCUACCUAUAAGACUGGGAUAACUUCGGGAAACCGGAGCUAAUACCGGAUAAUAUUUUGAACCGCAUGGUUCAAAAGUGAAAGACGGUCUUGCUGUCACUUAUAGAUGGAUCCGCGCUGCAUUAGCUAGUUGGUAAGGUAACGGCUUACCAAGGCAACGAUGCAUAGCCGACCUGAGAGGGUGAUCGGCCACACUGGAACUGAGACACGGUCCAGACUCCUACGGGAGGCAGCAGUAGGGAAUCUUCCGCAAUGGGCGAAAGCCUGACGGAGCAACGCCGAGUGAGUGAUGAAGGUCUUCGGAUCGUAAAACUCUGUUAUUAGGGAAGAACAUAUGUGUAAGUAACUGUGCACAUCUUGACGGUACCUAAUGAGAAAGCCACGGCUAACUACGUG